Molecule: unclassified non-coding RNA, 385 nt
Filed under: Hevea brasiliensis (rubber tree)
Lineage: Eukaryota; Viridiplantae; Streptophyta; Magnoliopsida; Malpighiales; Euphorbiaceae
Source: RNAcentral
AUCAAUUGACCAGAAAAGUUCAACCAAGAAAAUUGCAUUCAUUAUAAUCCACAUUUUUAGCAUAUAUUAGUCCACAAUGCAGACAACCUCUUCAUAUUUGUUAUCUCAUAAUAUAUCCUUCAUAUGUCAUGCAUACUCAUAUUUGAUGCAGCAUAUACGGGUACAGCAGACUAAAAAUCCAUUGUCCAUGGCCCUGCAUCAAUACUCUACCACUUAAAAGAUCCAUCAAGUAUGAUAUCUACAUGUGUACUAGUACCAGAUACACUACCAUCACAUUAUCAUUUGAGUUUACUAAUGGCAUAGAUAAGAAAAUUAUAAAAAUAAAAUAAAAUGAAAACAAUAUAUAAAAGUACUUGGAGUUUAGAGGACAUGGACCACCCUCAAA